CCCUUAGAUGUUCUGGGCUGCACACGUGCUACACUGGCAGGUUCAGCGAGCUUCAUGCCCUGAUCUGAAAGGAAUGGGAAAUCUUUUCAAAACCUGCCGUGCUUGGGAUAGAUGUUUGCAAUUAUUCAUCUUCAACGAGGAUUGCCUUGUAAGCGCACGUCAUCAGCGUGCAUUGAAUACGACCCUGUAUUCUGUACACACCGCCCGUCGCUCCUACCGAUUGAACGGUCCGGUGAAAUCUUGGGAUUUGCUUUGCUUUCGUUUGUUCGAUGCUCGGCGAAGAACUUGAGUAAACCUUACCGUUUAGAGGAAGGUGAAGUCGUAACA
This 327-nucleotide ribosomal RNA is filed under the name uncultured eukaryote. RNAcentral's name for it is "partial 18S ribosomal RNA". It matches the Rfam family "Eukaryotic small subunit ribosomal RNA", at positions 1470 to 1796 of the family's 1831-position model. The record is from RNAcentral.